CAGAUAUUCACACAUUUGAGGGCUAAAUGCUAGCAGCCACACACAGAAAAUCAUCUGGUACUGAAGCUGGAAGCCGCAUUUGUUGCUCAAGACACCCAUGAUACAGUUUACCCCAUCUGCUUCUACCCAGGCAAAGCGAUAUUCAUUGACUCUAAGCAUCAGCUGCAGGCAUCCAGCAACACACUGUACGUACUGGGAACUAUCACUUGUGGAGACUGCUCCUGCUUCCACAGAACCCCCUGUACCACGUAGCUUCUGUGAACUGAGCUGAGUUUUAAUCCAGUUGAAAUAGUAAUUCAAGUCACUGCCUUCCAUAAGUUCUCUCCCCCAGGCAGCCAGUUUGGC
This 345-nucleotide long non-coding RNA is filed under the name Gallus gallus (chicken). Lineage: Eukaryota; Metazoa; Chordata; Aves; Galliformes; Phasianidae. The record is from RNAcentral.